CUUUCAACAACGGAUCUCUUGGUUCUCGCAUCGAUGAAGAACGUAGCGAAGUGCGAUAUGUAGUGUGAAUUGCAGAAUUCCGUGAAUCAUCGAAUUUUUGAACGCAAAUUGCACUCUCUUCGGAGAGUAUGCCUGUUUGAGGGUCAGCCU
RNAcentral lists this ribosomal RNA (150 nucleotides) under Glomus mycorrhizal symbiont of Marchantia foliacea. RNAcentral describes it as "5.8S ribosomal RNA". It matches the Rfam family "5.8S ribosomal RNA". Rfam says of the family: 5.8S ribosomal RNA (5.8S rRNA) is a component of the large subunit of the eukaryotic ribosome. It is transcribed by RNA polymerase I as part of the 45S precursor that also contains 18S and 28S rRNA. Lineage: Eukaryota; Fungi; Glomeromycota; Glomeromycetes; Glomerales; Glomeraceae. The record is from RNAcentral.